UACGGAGGGGGCUAGCGUUGUUCGGAAUUACUGGGCGUAAAGGGCGCGUAGGCGGCGCGAUAAGUUGGGCGUGAAAGGCCCGGGCUCAACCCGGGGACUGCGCUUGAUACUGUCGCGCUGUGAGUCCGGGAGAGGAUGGCGGAAUUCCCAGUGUAGAGGUGAAAUUCGUAGAUAUUGGGAAGAACACCAGUGGCGAAGGCGGCUCACUGGCCCGGUACUGACGCUGAGGCGCGAAAGCGUGGGGAGCAAACAGG
This 254-nucleotide ribosomal RNA is filed under the name uncultured bacterium. Its description in RNAcentral is "partial 16S ribosomal RNA". It matches the Rfam family "Bacterial small subunit ribosomal RNA", at positions 524 to 776 of the family's 1533-position model. The record is from RNAcentral.